CUACGGGUUGCUCCAGUGGGGAAUAUUGGACAAUGGGCGCAAGCCUGAUCCAGCCAUGCCGCGUGAGUGACGAAGGCCUUCGGGUUGUAAAGCUCUUUCAGAUGUGAGGAUAAUGACGGUAACAUCAGAAGAAGCCCCGGCUAACUCCGUGCCAGCAGCCGCGGUAAUACGGAGGGGGCUAGCGUUGUUCGGAAUCACUGGGCGUAAAGCGCGCGUAGGCGGUUUGUUUAGUCAGAGGCGAGAGCCCGGGGCUCAACCCCGGAAUUGCCUUUGAUACUGGCAGGCUAGAGUUUGGUAGAGGAUGGUGGAAUUCCUAGUGUAGAGGUGAAAUUCGUAGAUAUUAGGAGGAACACCGGUGGCGAAGGCGACCAUCUGGGCCAAUACUGACGCUGAGGUGCGAAAGCGUGGGGAGCAAACAGGAUUAGAUACCCCCGUAGUC
This 439-nucleotide ribosomal RNA is filed under the name uncultured bacterium. Its description in RNAcentral is "partial 16S ribosomal RNA". It matches the Rfam family "Bacterial small subunit ribosomal RNA", at positions 339 to 795 of the family's 1533-position model. The record is from RNAcentral.